Molecule: transfer RNA, 71 nt
Filed under: Bos taurus (domestic cattle)
Lineage: Eukaryota; Metazoa; Chordata; Mammalia; Artiodactyla; Bovidae
Also listed under: 3 other names
Rfam family: tRNA
About the family: Transfer RNA (tRNA) molecules are approximately 80 nucleotides in length. Their secondary structure includes four short double-helical elements and three loops (D, anti-codon, and T loops). Further hydrogen bonds mediate the characteristic L-shaped molecular structure. tRNAs have two regions of fundamental functional importance: the anti-codon, which is responsible for specific mRNA codon recognition, and the 3' end, to which the tRNAs corresponding amino acid is attached (by aminoacyl-tRNA synthetases). tRNAs cope with the degeneracy of the genetic code in two manners: having more than one tRNA (with a specific anti-codon) for a particular amino acid; and 'wobble' base-pairing, i.e. permitting non-standard base-pairing at the 3rd anti-codon position.
Source: Rfam by way of RNAcentral
UCCUGGUGGCUCAGUUGGUAAAGAGUCUGCCUGUGAUGCAGGAGACCUGGGUUCGAUCCCUGGGUCGGGAA